RNAcentral lists this ribosomal RNA (1470 nucleotides) under metagenome. Its description in RNAcentral is "bacterial SSU rRNA". It matches the Rfam family "Bacterial small subunit ribosomal RNA". The record is from RNAcentral.
AGAGUUUGAUCCUGGCUCAGGACGAACGCUGGCGGCACGCUUAACACAUGCAAGUCGAACGAGAGAAGAGGAGCUUGCUUUUCUGAUCUAGUGGCGGACGGGUGAGUAACACGUGAGCAAUCUGCCUUUCAGAGGGGGAUACCGAUUGGAAACGAUCGUUAAUACCGCAUAACAUAAUUGAACCGCAUGAUUUGAUUAUCAAAGAUUUAUCGCUGAAAGAUGAGCUCGCGUCUGAUUAGCUAGUUGGUAAGGUAACGGCUUACCAAGGCGACGAUCAGUAGCCGGACUGAGAGGUUGAUCGGCCACAUUGGGACUGAGACGCGGCCCAGACUCCUACGGGAGGCAGCAGUGGGGAAUAUUGCACAAUGGAGGAAACUCUGAUGCAGCGAUGCCGCGUGAGGGAAGAAGGUUUUAGGAUUGUAAACCUCUGUCUUCAGGGACGAAAAAAGACGGUACCUGAGGAGGAAGCUCCGGCUAACUACGUGCCAGCAGCCGCGGUAAUACGUAGGGAGCGAGCGUUGUCCGGAAUUACUGGGUGUAAAGGGAGCGUAGGCGGGAUCGCAAGACAGAUGUGAAAACUAUGGGCUUAACCCAUAAACUGCAUUUGAAACUGUAGUUCUUGAGUGAAGUAGAGGUAAGCGGAAUUCCUAGUGUAGCGGUGAAAUGCGUAGAUAUUAGGAGGAACAUCAGUGGCGAAGGCGGCUUACUGGGCUUUAACUGACGCUGAGGCUCGAAAGCGUGGGGAGCAAACAGGAUUAGAUACCCUGGUAGUCCACGCCGUAAACGAUGAUUACUAGGUGUGGGGGGACUGACCCCUUCCGUGCCGCAGCAAACGCAAUAAGUAAUCCACCUGGGGAGUACGACCGCAAGGUUGAAACUCAAAGGAAUUGACGGGGGCCCGCACAAGCAGUGGAGUAUGUGGAUUAAUUCGAAGCAACGCGAAGAACCUUACCAGGUCUUGACAUCGUAUGCAUAGCUCAGAGAUGAGUGAAAUCUCUUCGGAGACAUAUAGACAGGUGGUGCAUGGUUGUCGUCAGCUCGUGUCGUGAGAUGUUGGGUUAAGUCCCGCAACGAGCGCAACCCUUACUGUUAGUUGCUACGCAAGAGCACUCUAGCAGGACUGCCGUUGACAAAACGGAGGAAGGUGGGGAUGACGUCAAAUCAUCAUGCCCCUUAUGACCUGGGCCUCACACGUACUACAAUGGCUGUCAACAGAGGGAAGCAAAGCCGCGAGGUGGAGCGAACCCCUAAAAGCAGUCUUAGUUCGGAUUGUAGGCUGCAACCCGCCUACAUGAAGUCGGAAUUGCUAGUAAUCGCAGAUCAGCAUGCUGCGGUGAAUACGUUCCCGGGCCUUGUACACACCGCCCGUCACGCCAUGGGAGUCGGUAACACCCGAAGCCUGUAGUCUAACCGCAAGGAGGACGCAGUCGAAGGUGGGAUUGAUGACUGGGGUGAAGUCGUAACAAGGUA